Molecule: ribosomal RNA, 566 nt
Filed under: uncultured bacterium
Lineage: Bacteria
Description: bacterial SSU rRNA
Rfam family: Bacterial small subunit ribosomal RNA
Source: RNAcentral
CAUUACGGGAGGCAGCAGUCGAGAAUAUUCGACAAUGGGCGAAAGCCUGAUCGAGCGACACCGCGUGCAGGAUGAAGGCCUUCGGGUCGUAAACUGCGGUAGCUAGGGAGGAACGCAAGUGACUGUACCUAGCGGAAAGAGGUGGGUAACUACGUGCCAGCACCAGCGGUAAUACGUAGACCUCAAGCGUUAUCCGAAUUUAUUGGGCGUAAAGCGCAUGUAGGAGGUUUCGUGCGUCUGCGGUUAAAGCCCACUGCUCAACGGUGGAAGUGCCGCGGAUACGGCGAGACUAGAGGAGGUUAGAGGUGCAUAGAACGCACGGUGUAGGGGUGAAAUCCGUUGAUAUCGUGCGGAAUACCAAAGGCGAAGGCAGUGCACUGGGACCUUCCUGACUCUGAGAUGCGAAAGCGUGGGGAGCAAACACCACGGAUUAGAUACCCUUGUAGUCCACGCCCUAAACGAUGCCUGCUUGCUGUUUCGAGUAUCGACCCUCGGAGUGGCGGAGCUAACGCGUUAAGCAGGCCGCCUGGGAAGUACGGCCGCAAGGCUAAAACUCAAAGGAAUUG